This 1014-nucleotide long non-coding RNA is filed under the name Mytilus galloprovincialis (Mediterranean mussel). Lineage: Eukaryota; Metazoa; Mollusca; Bivalvia; Mytilida; Mytilidae. The record is from RNAcentral.
GCCCUUUUGUUUUGUGAUUCUUUGCUUACUUCUUGAUUUUGAUUGUGACUGUCUUUCAGUGUUUAUAAAAAUAAUACGCAUUAGGAGCACCUGAAUUCACUCCCGGUUUUUAAUGGAGUUCGUGUUGUUUUUAUAUAUGUAUUUUUCAAUGUGUUGUUGUAAAUGCCCUUUCGUUUUGUGAUUCUUUGCUUACUUCUUGAUUUUGAUUGUGACUGUCUUUCAGUGUUUAUAAAAAUAAUACGCACUCGACAUCAGGGAGAUUCACACUGUGGUUCGAGGCUGAUAUUUUACAGUAUCAAUGUGUAUAAUAGCGCAUAAUUUAUAUAUAUAUCAAACAAGAUUAGAAUCUUCAAUACUGUUCAUUUUUUGGUAUUUUGCUAUUGCUUAAAAUAUGUUGUAAUUAAUGCAGUCAUAUGUUACUAUGUUAGGCAAUGCAUUAUAAUCAACACAAAACAAUGUCUCGAUUACCUUAUUUUUAAUCAUAACUGGAAUUUCUUUUAUUUAUCAUAACCAUUUUUUAAUAUAUAAUAAAACAUUCAAUGUCAUACCAACAUGUGAAGUUUGUGGCAAAAAUCUCUGUCAUUUUCAUGCCCCUUGGUUAUUUUAUGACCCUUUAAAGCUCAUAAAUAAAACAAUCAAAGAAACAAUUAAUUUUGCAUGUAUCAUGUUUCAUUGCUCUCCCCCUAUGCCAUCUUUUCUUUGGAAUGCUUUGUUGAAUGUCAGUUUCCUGGCUCUUUUCCUCAAUUCAGUCCCGGAUAUGAUGUGUCUUUUUACAUGUACAGUGGUAAUUCAAGAGGACACUUUAGUUCUAAUAUGAGCUCAUUAUAAGCAUCCACCUUUAAUGUUUUGGUACUUGUACGAAACUCAGGAUUCAAUGGUUCAUGAUUAAAUGUUGGGUUUUUUUUCUGAUGAGUGCCAUAUUGUCUAGAUACAUCAUUUUGUUUAUAGGUCUUCAAUUUUCACAUCGAACAUUCCCAUGUCUGCUCCUGUCUCCAUUGCUGUUAAUCAUUCUGA